UUUGGUGGUUAGGCAUCCGGGGUAACACCCGUUCCCAUUCCGAACACGAAGGUUAAGCCUGGGUGCGACGAUGAUACUAAGCUGGAGACGGCUUGGGAAAGUAGGUGUCUGCCAAAU
This 117-nucleotide ribosomal RNA is filed under the name Caloramator sp. E03. Lineage: Bacteria; Bacillati; Bacillota; Clostridia; Eubacteriales; Clostridiaceae. The record is from RNAcentral.